AAUGGAGGGAGACCUGUCUGUCUCUGAGUAACACCUGAAUGGAGGGAGCCCUGUCUGUCUCUGAGUAACACCUGAAUGGAGGGAGACCUGUGUGUGGAGCUGAAGUUAAUUAAUGAACAUCAAAUGGUAUUGAGAAAGUGGCUGUGGAGGAGCAGUUUGUUAUGUGAUGAUCAUCUACAGUCCCUUCACAUUACUGUACGUUUAUUAAAGGUAAAGGGUAAAUCAAACUGUUUUUGACUUACUCUGUACUUUCACAAAUUAAUACAACAUUUAUAUUACACUUGGUGCAUUUUGAAGCAUGGAAUUGGGCCAAUAGAUUAUUUCUUUCAGCUGUAUAUUUGUGUUUCAACAGAAAACCAUUUCAGCUCCUGCGACAGCCAGACGGAAGGAGACAGCAACAUACCAGCCGUUAUCUCCAGGGAGAUGGGAUGUCUGGCUGUCGCCCUACAACGAGGAAGGCUGCUGCUGAGAGCAGGGGGUGCCUACUCAAGUCCUAGAAACAGCAACUAGAUUGUCAGCUGUAUAGGCCCUGCUGUACCGGAAUCCUCUAGUGCUUCUUCAAGGAUUGAUUUACUUCCCCUGCCUUCCAUUGACUGUAGAGGAACCAACCCUGAUACCAAAAUCAAUAACUACUCUAGUUUGUGUAUUUGCAUGUGUUUAUUUCAGGAAAUGGCUUCCUGAAAUCCCUCAAGCAGCUGAUUGGUCGACUCCAGGGCUAAUUGGAGAGCUGACCCCGCCCCCUCGUCAAGACACAGCUGUCUCCAAUUACCCAUUCCUUCAGAAGCUAUAUAAAAACCAGUGUUCUGUUCAGAAAAAAAGAUUCUCUUUUUUUGUAGAGGAUUUUGCUGGAGGUAAAUUUGCUAGAGAGAUAUUUUGUAGAGGAUUUUGCUAGAGGUUGAUUUUGCUGGGAGUUCAUUGCUGAGAGUUGGUAUGUUUUGUGAGUUUGUUGCUCAGAUAGAACUUAUUUGAUGUCCUUUGUCUCUUAGUUUGUUUGUGAAAUUGUUUAAUAUUCUGUUUCAUUUGUUCCCAGGGGGGAAGGGGAAGGCACCUAGGGAGUGCUUAGGCAAGAGGCCCGCGGGCAUACAUAUACCCGUAGCAUAUUCGCUGUCUAGGCACACUAGGUAAGACCUGGGCGGACCACCCCUUGUAUUUUGGUUAGGGCACCAGGUGGUGCUAAAUUAGGUAAGUAGUGGGUAGGCAG
This is a long non-coding RNA of Oncorhynchus tshawytscha (Chinook salmon), 1201 nucleotides long. The record is from Ensembl. NCBI's taxonomy places the organism in Eukaryota, Metazoa, Chordata, Actinopteri, Salmoniformes, Salmonidae.